This 490-nucleotide ribosomal RNA is filed under the name uncultured bacterium. Its description in RNAcentral is "partial 16S ribosomal RNA". It matches the Rfam family "Bacterial small subunit ribosomal RNA", at positions 29 to 506 of the family's 1533-position model. The record is from RNAcentral.
GUGAACGCUGGCGGUAGGCCUAACACCUGCAAGUCGAACGGCAGCACAGUAAGAGCUUGCUCUUACGGGUGGCGAGUGGCGGACGGGUGAGGAAUACAUCGGAAUCUACUUUUUCGUGGGGGAUAACGUAGGGAAACUUACGCUAAUACCGCAUACGACCUACGGGUGAAAGCAGGGGAUCUUCGGACCUUGCGCGAUUGAAUGAGCCGAUGUCGGAUUAGCUAGUUGGCGGGGUAAAGGCCCACCAAGGCGACGAUCCGUAGCUGGUCUGAGAGGAUGAUCAGCCACACUGGAACUGAGACACGGUCCAGACUCCUACGGGAGGCAGCAGUGGGGAAUAGUGGACAAUGGGCGCAAGCCUGAUCCAGCCAUACCGCGUGGGUGAAGAAGGCCUUCGGGUUGUAAAGCCCUUUUGUUGGGAAAGAAAAGCAGCAGGUUAAUACCCCGCUGUUCUGACGGUACCCAAAGAAUAAGCACCGGCUAACUUCGU